Molecule: transfer RNA, 73 nt
Filed under: Stegodyphus mimosarum
Lineage: Eukaryota; Metazoa; Arthropoda; Arachnida; Araneae; Eresidae
Rfam family: tRNA
About the family: Transfer RNA (tRNA) molecules are approximately 80 nucleotides in length. Their secondary structure includes four short double-helical elements and three loops (D, anti-codon, and T loops).
Source: Rfam by way of RNAcentral
GCCUUAGUGGUGUAGUGGUCAGCACGAUCGGCGCAUAUUUGACAGAUCCAGGGUUCGAGUCCCGGCGAGGGCA